GCAAACUUGGUCAUUUAGAGGAAGUAAAAGUCGUAACAAGGUUUCCGUAGGUGAACCUGCGGAAGGAUCAUUAUCGAGUCUCAAUCCGGCGUCUUUCUUGCUGCUGCAUUCACUUGCACGCUCGAGGGGUGUUGGCUCUUUUGACUUUACACACCUGUGCACCUCGGAUCGCCGCGAUUUAUUUCGUGGCGGACCGCUUUUUUUACACCUUUCUUGUAUGUCAUUUUGAAGUGAAUUCGGCUGCUCUGUGAUGGAGCAGUCGGUGGAAAAAAAAUUAAUACAACUUUCAGCAACGGAUCUCUUGGCUCUCCCAUCGAUGAAGAACGCAGC
This 330-nucleotide unclassified non-coding RNA is filed under the name uncultured fungus. RNAcentral's name for it is "partial contains small subunit ribosomal RNA, internal transcribed spacer 1, and 5.8S ribosomal RNA". The stretch from base 1 to 73 matches the Rfam family "Eukaryotic small subunit ribosomal RNA", at positions 1759 to 1831 of the family's 1831-position model. The record is from RNAcentral. Lineage: Eukaryota; Fungi.